AGUGAACGCUGGCGGUAGGCCUAACACAUGCAAGUCGAACGGCAGCACAGAGGAGCUUGCUCCUUGGGUGGCGAGUGGCGGACGGGUGAGGAAUACAUCGGAAUCUACUCUGUCGUGGGGGAUAACGUAGGGAAACUUACGCUAAUACCGCAUACGACCUACGGGUGAAAGCAGGGGAUCUUCGGACCCUGCGCGAUUGAAUGAGCCGAUGUCGGAUUAGCUAGUUGGCGGGGUAAAGGCCCACCAAGGCGACGAUCCGUAGCUGGUCUGAGAGGAUGAUCAGCCACACUGGAACUGAGACACGGUCCAGACUCCUACGGGAGGCAGCAGUGGGGAAUAUUGGACAAUGGGCGCAAGCCUGAUCCAGCCAUACCGCGUGGGUGAAGAAGGCCUUCGGGUUGUAAAGCCCUUUUGUUGGGAAAGAAAUCCAGCCGGCUAAUACCUGGUUGGGAUGACGGUACCCAAAGAAUAAGCACCGGCUAACUUCGUGCCAGCAGCCGCGGUAAUACGAAGGGUGCAAGCGUUACUCGGAAUUACUGGGCGUAAAGCGUGCGUAGGUGGUUAUUUAAGUCCGUUGUGAAAGCCCUGGGCUCAACCUGGGAACUGCAGUGGAUACUGGAUGACUAGAAUGUGGUAGAGGGUAGCGGAAUUCCUGGUGUAGCAGUGAAAUGCGUAGAGAUCAGGAGGAACAUCCAUGGCGAAGGCAGCUACCUGGACCAACAUUGACACUGAGGCACGAAAGCGUGGGGAGCAAACAGG
RNAcentral lists this ribosomal RNA (759 nucleotides) under uncultured Stenotrophomonas sp. RNAcentral's name for it is "bacterial SSU rRNA". It matches the Rfam family "Bacterial small subunit ribosomal RNA", at positions 28 to 776 of the family's 1533-position model. The record is from RNAcentral. Lineage: Bacteria; Pseudomonadati; Pseudomonadota; Gammaproteobacteria; Lysobacterales; Lysobacteraceae.